AUGUUCUCUGUAGCUCUGCUGCUGCUGCUGGCUGCUGGAUCCUGUGUGAAGUGUGAACAGUUGACACAGCCAGCCUCUGUGACUGUGCAGCCAGGUCAACGUCUGACCAUCACCUGUCAGGUCUCUGGUUAUUCUUUGACUGAUGACAGCUAUGCAACAGGUUGGAUCAGACAGUGUGAAGGAAAACCAAUGGACUGGAUUUUGCACCGGUGGGGCGGAGGAGAAAUUUAUCAAAAUAAUGCUCUGAAGAACAAGUUUCUUUACUACACACACACUUCUACCAGCUCGGUGACUCUAACAGGACAGAAUCUGCAGCCUGAGGACACAUCUGUUUAUUACUGUGUACGUCGGCCCACAGUGAUACAAACCACCAACAGACCUGCACAAAUACCCAGAGACCCUGUGACUCAAGUUUAA
Molecule: non-coding RNA, 417 nt
Organism: Acanthopagrus latus (yellowfin seabream)
Lineage: Eukaryota; Metazoa; Chordata; Actinopteri; Spariformes; Sparidae
Source: the annotation of a RefSeq genome assembly